Molecule: ribosomal RNA, 253 nt
Filed under: uncultured bacterium
Lineage: Bacteria
Description: partial 16S ribosomal RNA
Rfam family: Bacterial small subunit ribosomal RNA
Source: RNAcentral
GACGAAGGUGGCGAGCGUUGUUCGGAUUCGUUGGGCGUAAAGGGUGCGUAGGCGGCGGGGUAAGUCUGAUGUGAAAGGCCGGGGCUCAACCUCGGGACUGCAUUGGAUACUGCCUUGCUCGAGAACUGGAGAGGAGACUGGAAUUUACGGUGUAGCAGUGAAAUGCGUAGAGAUCGUAAGGAAGACCAGUGGCGAAGGCGAGUCUCUGGACAGAUUCUGACGCUGAGGCACGAAGGCCAGGGGAGCAAACGGG